UCCAAGUAUUUGAGAUGUGAUGAAGUAUAUAUAUAUGAUAAUAUUGAACUUGUUGAAAAGUAAAUGACAAUACAGAUUCGUGAAGAUUGAGAUGAUUGCAGAAUGUAGAUGCUGAAGAUGAUGAAGACGAUGGACAGAUCGGAUGAAUGAUCUCCAGGUGAAGAACAAGCUUGACCAGAUGAUUUGAAUUCAGAGGACAGAUUGCAGAUUCCAGAGAACAGAUUGAAGAAGAUAGAGAUGGUGAUUUUGGGACCAAGAACUUGAAUCCAAAACCUAAAGAUUAAGUUGUGAUGGUUCAUAUUUGUAGAGGUAAGGACCCAACGGCUAUGAGGGUUUUAGGUGGGUUUGGUAGGUGUGUUUAAUUGUGAUAAUAAAUAGGAUUAGGAAAUGUGUAUAUUAGGGAGUAAUGUAUUAUGGAGUAGGUGUAUAUUUGAAAAGAUAUUUUUGGCUAUUAAGUAAUAGGAUAUAUAUGUUUUUAUAAAGACUUGUAUGAUAUUUUCACAAUAAUUCUAAUAGUCCCCUUCGAAAAUAAGGUCAUAAGCUACUAAGGUUUGGGCUAGUACUUGGGUUAUGGGCUUAUAUUCGGAUGAUGUGUGUAUUUGGUUAAAUGGAUGGGAUAUAUAUGGGUAUUAGUGUAUCUGGAUAUGUGGGUGUUUGGUUAUUCGGAUAUGGGUAUGCGGAUAUUUAGGUUUAAUGUGUUCCUAUAAAAGGGUGUGUUUGUGGGGUUUUUCUUUUUGAUUGGUGGUGCUAGGGUUUUGGUUUGGUUUGGCGGGAGUCGCUUUGUUUCACAGGUUUUCUUCCCUUCCUUCUCCUUCUUGCAUUUUAUUUUCUGCUCUUCCUUGAUGUAUGUUAUUCAUUCCGAGUUGCAUCAGUAGUGUUUUGUAUAGUGUUCCCGUUACUGGUUUUGUGAACAUAUCGGCUACAUUCAUUUUUGAGUCUACUCUGUCUAUUUUCAAAUUUUUUCCAUGAUUUUGUCGCGCACUGUGUGAAUGUCGAUCUCGAUGUGUUUUGUUCUUUGAUGUAGUACUGGAUUUUUUGCUAUUGCUAUUGCUGUCUGUGUAGAGUAUUGGGGUCUCAUUUUUGUAGGUUCCGAUUUCUUUUAGUAGGUUGAUGAUCCAUGUUAUAUCGCAACUUGUGUAUGCUAAUGCCCUGUACUCUGCUGAUGACCGAGCAACUGUGUGUUGUUUCUUUGUUUGCCAUGAUAUUAGGGACCCUCCAAGAAAGAUGGCGAACCCUAUUGUUGAUCUCCUUGUUGAAGGGCAUGAUGCCCAGUCAGAGUCUGAGAAGGCUCUUAACCCUGAAGUGUUGGACCCUGAGAAGGCGACAGCAAAACCAGGUGAUUGUUUAAUAUAUCUUAGCACUUUAUGUGCUGCAUUUAGGUCCUUUUGCCUUGGUUUGGCCAUGUUUUGGCUUAAUGUAUUUACUGCGUAUGUUAUGUCUGGUCUUGUUACUGUUAGGUAUACCAAUUUUGUAUGACAGGAGAGGGUGUCCUGUUUAUUAAGUAACUUGCUGUUAAUAUGCAUUCUCCCCAGUAUUUUAUUGGUGUUUGGGAGUGAAACAUUAUGCUUUUAGCUACAUCUAGUAGGUGUCUAUGUUUUCUUUCUACAAUAGAGUUUUGUUGGGGGGUAUAUGGACAUGUCAACUGAUGUCUUAUGUCAUAUUUUGCUAGAAAUAUCUUGAACUCCUGGGAUUGGAAUUCAGUUCUAUUGUCACUCCUUAUGGUUCUUAUCUUCGUUUUGAAUUGAUUCAUUGCUUCUAUUGUGAAGUUUUUGAAGAUUUCAUAAGUAUUGCUUUUGUUUCUCAUUAGUAUUGUCCAUGUUGCCCUAGAAAAAUCGUUCACUAUGGUCAUAAAAUAUUUAUGUCCUUUGUGGGUUGGUUCUUUGUAGGGGCCUCAUAGGUCUAUAUGUAGCAAUUCAAAAAUCCCUGAGGUUUUAGUAUUGCUAGAGGGAAAAGAGAAUCUAGUAUGUUUUGCCAUUGGGCAUUCAUUACAAAAUGCAUUCUCCAAUUUUGGUAAAUAAGCAAUGUUUUUUCUAAUUAAAUCAUAUCUAAUCUGGGAUGGGUGUCCCAGUCUCUUGUGCCAAAUGUUUGCUGAUGGUGCUCUGUUGACAGCAUACGACCUUGGUUGUUCCAGGGCUUCUUUUCUUCCAUUCAGCAUGUAGAGCCCAUCGAUCCUUUUACCCAUAGAAAUCAAUCUCAUCUUCGAAUCCUGUAUCAAACAAUGAUCAGGGUGAAAUGAGAAGCUACAUUUUAACUGCUUUGUAAGUUUUGUUACUGAUAUCAAAUUUACAUUGAAGUUAGUAAUCUGUAGUACAUUGUGUAAUGUUAAUAGAUCGUCUAUUUUGUAAUUCCCAAUGUAUCUCACAGUUGUUGUUUGUGAGUUUGGGAGGUUUACAACAAUAGGUUUUACUAAUGCCCUUUUUCACUUAGUGUGAUGGCUGGUCCACACAUGUGAUCUGUGGCUCCACUGUCUAUUAUCCAGUCAGUGGUGUUUUUAGUUUUUGUAUUGAAACAGAGUGAUUCUUGGGGCUUACCAGUAUGGUUUGGGUUCAUUUCUGGUUGUGCUUGUGCUCUGCCCAUAUGUACAGAAUGUUUUUCCUCUCCUGCUUGUUGAUUUUGAUUUUGGUUAAGGAGGGAUCUUAGCUGUUCCAUUAUGUCUUGAUUGUUUUGAUUCCCACUCUGAUAUUCAGGUUGGCUAGCGUUGUUGUUUUGAUAUCCAUUGUCGUUUUCAGUUGUGUAAUACUCCUGGUUUAUUUCUUCCAUUGUGUAGUUGUUUUCAUUUUCCUGCCAUUGUUGGUUUUCAACUUCCUCAGAGUAGUUGUUGUAUGCCCUGGUCUGUGGUCUGAAAUUGUUGUUGAAGUUUCUGCCUCUUUGAUAGUUGUGGCCUCUAGUUGGUUGUCCAGAUGGUCUGAAGGGUGGUCUUCUUUGUUGAUUGAAUUGUGGUUGGAAGGAUGAUCUGGGAUUUUGUUGAUUAUUUACAUAUGCUGGUCUUUCUGCAGGGUAACCAUGCAAUUGGUAGCAUGUAUUGAUUGUGUGUCCUGGCCUUUUACAGCCAGUGCCGUAGGGUCUUUCAUUCUGUGGCCUUGGUGGUCUGAGGUCCUUGUGCUAGUAGUGUUGUUGCUGAUUCUUUUGGUGUCUCCAUGUCCUUUGUUUGUUCAUCUUGGGUCACCAUUGAAUAAGCUCUGUUUAGAUCAGGCUGAGGAUCCAUUUGCAUUAUUUGUCUGUUUAGCUGUUUAUAAGUCUCAUUUAGUCCAUUCAGGAACUUUAUGAGUCUUUCUUCUUGUAUCACUUCUACACUUUUUCUGCUCAUGUCGUAUUCAUUCCAUAGUUUUGUCAGUUUUGUGUAGUAGUUGCAGACUGAAUCUUCUCCUUGUGUGAGAUUCAUGAUUUUUACUUGUAACUGGAAAACUAGUGGUCCAUUUUGUAUGUGGAAUCUUGCUUUCAAUUCCUUCCAUAGCAGAUGUGCUGAUUUAUAGAAGAUGAAAGCUGGAGAGAGUUCUUGACUCAGUCCGUUUAGUAUCCAAGACCUUACUAGAGCAUCAGUUGCUUUCCAUCUCUCGUAUUCUUUCUCAUUUGUUUGUUCGGGAGUGGGUAUUUCACCUGUUAAGAACUUCUCCUUGUUUUUGGAUUCCACAGCUAUAACAAACUGUGCACUCCAAAUGUUCCAGUUGUUUCCAUCCAUCUUGAAUGGUACUAACUGGAUUCCUGGAUUGUCUGAAUAUGUUGGAAUAACAUUUUCAUUUGACAUUUUGUUUCUGAAAAAUAAAUAAAUGCAGAUGAUCAGAAUGAUGCUGGAAAAUAUCAGGACAUAGGUGGUGCUGCUAUGGAAUGUGUCGAUCAUGUGGUGGUGCCAAGACAGUUUCCUGUUUAUCAACCUUCUUUUGAUCCUGUGGCUUGGAAAAAUGCAGCUUGGGCUGGAAGAGUGUUUGAGGACCCUAGGAGCUGGUGGGUUGAAUAUAUGAGAAAUAAUGAAGAUCCUGAUUUUGUGGAUGAUGAUCCAGAUCAGGGACCACAACCACUUGACAAUGAUCCUGAUGAUGAAGAACCUGAUGGUUUUGAUGAAGACUGGAAUGUUGAUGAGGGAGCUGGUGGUGUUUAUGGACUUAGUGAUGAUGAGAAGGCUAGGGAAAGUGAAGACUACUGUAUUUUUAAGUGUGAGGAAAAGGAUUGUGUGAGGAUGCUGAGGCGUAGGAGGAUGAAGGCAAGGUUGAGAGCUCACUAUAAGGAAAAAGCUCUGGACCUUGGAGUUUGGGAUGGGGAGUAUCCUCCUCGUCUAAUGAUGAGUCCUUAGUUGAAUGAUAAAAAACUUUCUGAAACCUUUUGACAAUUUGUAAAAAAACUUGAAAUGAAAGAAGAAAUACUGAUUACUUGUGGAGAGAAAAAAGAAAUAUGUGAUGGAUGUAUGAUAUUAUUAUGGAUGUAUUAUACUAUGAUGAAUAUCCUCUGUUUUCCCUUUUUCAGGUGUGAAGACUGAACAGAUGACUGAUAUGGAUCGUAUCUUGGAUGGUAUGGAUGAUUUAUGGAGUGAUCCUUCUUCUGCUAUGAGUCUGUAUAGUAUCAAACAACUAUCACAGCAGAUUACUGACAAGAUAGAUCGUAUGGAUGGUGAGAUUGAUCCUGAUUAUGGACUGUUUCUUUUAAUGAAGCUAAAAAGGGAGGCUGAUCUUGUGAUCAGUAAGUGAAAAACCAAAUUAACUUAUGAAGGAAAACUUUUAUCUUUUGAAAGAAAAAAAAUGUUGUUAUAUGAUUAGCAAGAUCUUUUACCGCUCUGAUACCAUGUUAGAAUUGUAUAAUUAUGAUGUAUGAUUAUCCAAGUAUUUGAGAUGUGAUGAAGUAUAUAUAUAUGAUAAUAUUGAACUUGUUGAAAAGUAAAUGACAAUACAGAUUCGUGAAGAUUGAGAUGAUUGCAGAAUGUAGAUGCUGGAGAUGAUGAAGACGAUGAACAGAUCGGAUGAAUGAUCUCCAGGUGAAAAACAAGCUUGACCAGAUGAUUUGAAUUCAGAGGACAGAUUGCAGAUUCCAGAGAACAGAUUGAAGAAGAUAGAGAUGGUGAUUUUGGGACCAAGAACUUGAAUCCAAAACCUAAAGAUUAAGUUGUGAUGGUUCAUAUUUGUAGAGGUAAGGACCCAACGGUUAUGAGGGUUUUAGGUGGGUUUGGUAGGUGUGUUUAAUUAUGGUAAUAAAUAGGAUUAGGAAAUGUGUAUAUUAGGGAGUAAUGUAUUAGGGAGUAGGUGUAUAUUUGAAAAGAUAUUGUUGGCUACUAAGUAAUAUGAUAUAUAUGUUUUUAUAAAGACUUGUAU
RNAcentral lists this long non-coding RNA (5297 nucleotides) under Zostera marina. Its description in RNAcentral is "long non-coding RNA (ZMAR_LNC004353)". Lineage: Eukaryota; Viridiplantae; Streptophyta; Magnoliopsida; Alismatales; Zosteraceae. The record is from RNAcentral.